AUGUAAGUCUAAAAGUUAAGGUGAUCAAGUGUAUAUAAGUUUUGAGUUAAACUAAGGAGAUUACGCUCGGAAAACGAAUAAAAGAAUUGAGGUGCUUGUUGGACUUUAUAAAGCUACCAGGUGUCACCUCCUUGCUUAGCUCAAAUGGGCUAGGUAGAUGGGGAAGAUUAGUUCAUGCAUUAGUGGGCUCACUUGAGGCCCAA
This 203-nucleotide long non-coding RNA is filed under the name Solanum tuberosum (potato). RNAcentral's name for it is "long non-coding RNA (STUB_LNC001696)". The record is from RNAcentral. Lineage: Eukaryota; Viridiplantae; Streptophyta; Magnoliopsida; Solanales; Solanaceae.